GAUGAACGCUGGCGGCGUGCCUAAUACAUGCAAGUCGAGCGAACAGAUGAGGAGCUUGCUCCUCUGACGUUAGCGGCGGACGGGCGAGUAACACGUGGAUAACCUACCUAUAAGACUGGGAUAACUUCGGGAAACCGGAGCUAAUACCGGAUAAUAUAUUGAACCGCAUGGUUCAAUAGUGAAAGACGGUUUUGCUGUCACUUAUAGAUGGAUCCGUGCCGCAUUAGCUAGUUGGUAAGGUAACGGCUUACCAAGGCAACGAUGCGUAGCCGACCUGAGAGGGUGAUCGGCCACACUGGAACUGAGACACGGUCCAGACUCCUACGGGAGGCAGCAGUAGGGAAUCUUCCGCAAUGGGCGAAAGCCUGACGGAGCAACGCCGCGUGAGUGAUGAAGGUCUUCGGAUCGUAAAACUCUGUUAUUAGGGAAGAACAAAUGUGUAAGUAACUAUGCACGUCUUGACGGUACCUAAUCAGAAAGCCACGGCUAACUACGUG
Molecule: ribosomal RNA, 497 nt
Filed under: uncultured bacterium
Lineage: Bacteria
Description: partial 16S ribosomal RNA
Rfam family: Bacterial small subunit ribosomal RNA
Source: RNAcentral